GGAAAUUUUACCCCCCAAAAAUUCCCUUUUUUUUCCCGAAAAUUCCCUUUUUCCUACCCCAAAAAUUCCCUUUUGUUUUCCCCAAAAAUUCUUAUUUUCCCCUCAAAAAUCCCCAUUUUUCCCCCCAAAAAUUCCCAUUUUUUUCCCCAAAAAUUCCCAUUUUCCCCUCAAAAAUUCCCGUUUUUCCCAAAAAAAUUCGCAAUUUUUUUCCCCAAAAUUUCCCAAUUUUUCCCCCAAUUUUUUUUACGGGAAUGACGCAAAAUUCGGGGAUUUUCCCACACCACGCCCCCUUUUCAUCUCCACCAAUCAAAUCCCUCUGUAGGCGUGGCCUUACCUUUAAACCACGCCCCCUUCUAUUUCCACCAAUCAAAUUCUUGCAUGGGCGUGGCCUCGCUGCAAACCACGCCCAUUUUAUUUCCCACCAAUCAAAUCACUCAAUGGGCGUGGCCUCUGGUCAAACCACGCCCCUCACGUUUCCACCAAUCAAAUCCCUCUGUGGGCGUGGCCUCGUCCUCAUUUUAUAACCCCGAGGCCGCGGGUUCGAAUCCCACCCUGUCCUGAUGGUGCCACCGUCCCAAAAAUUCCUUCUUUUCUUCCCCAAAAAUUCUCAGUUUUCCCCCAAAAUUCCCUCUUCCCCCGCAAAUUCCCUCUUUCGUCCCCAAAAUUCCAUUUUUUUCCCCCUAAAAAUUUCCAGUUUUUUAUACAAAAUCACCUCUUUCCUACCCCAAAACUUCCCUUUUUUCCCCCUGAAAAUUCCCCUUUUUCCCCCAAAAAAAUUCCCAGUUCUUUCCCUAAAAUUCCCCAAAUUUCCCCUUCAAAAUUUCCUGGUUUUCCCCAAAAAAUUCCCAUUUUUCCGCAAAAAAUUCCCCCAAAUUUUCCCCCAUUUUUUACGGGAAUGACGCAAAACUCGGGGAAUGCCCCUCAAACCACGCCCCCUUCCCAAUCAACCAAUCAAAUCCCUCCAUAGGCGUGGCCUAUGUUUAAACCACGCCUCCUUUCCCCUCUCCACCAAUCAAAUCCCUCGGUGGGCGUGGCUUCGCCCCUCAUUUUAUAACCCCGAGGCCGCGGGUUCGAAUCCCGCCAUUUCCUGUCGCCAUGUCCAUGGUGGCCGCUGUCGCCGCCACCGCCACGUGUCCGGGCCGAUGCUGGGGACAUCCCGAGGGUGUCCCCAAAGGGGUGGCACCGUCCCCACCUCGUCACUUCACCUUCGAACCCCCCCCUGCGCCCCGAGGCCCGUCCAGGCCUCGGCGACCUCGGCAUCGCCGCGUUCUUUAUCCGCCCGCUGUGCGCCGCCCCCUCCCCUCGGAAGAACCCAGCGCCGCCAAACGCCUCCUGCUCCUCCUGCUGGCCGUGGUGGGCACCCAAAUCUACAACGCGCCGGGAGACGACGGCGCCGCCGGUUUGGGGACCAGAACGGACUUGGGGACAACUCUGGGGACAAAUUUGGGGACAAAUUUGACGACGAGGACAAUCCCAGUUCCGGAGGAGCCUCAAAUUCCGGCCUGGAACACCAACGGAACCGCGAGUGGCGCUUGUCCCGCUUUCCUGUGGGUGUCACCCCCUUUGUCACCAGCUGGGGGCGCCAGGACGCGCUGAGGGACGAUCCCAGAAUCCUCCUGGGUUAAUUAACGAGGUCGUUAAUUAACAAGGCCGUUAAUUACGGCGGAAGAGGCAGGAGAAGGCGGCGACGUCGGACGAGCCCAGUUUGGAACUGGGAGGACUGGGAAGAGGAGGAGCCAUUGACUGAGGAGGGUUGUUCCCAUUCCUUAAUUAAUUAGCUCAUUAAUUACCCCCUAAUUAGCUGGUUAAUUAAUGAGCAGCUCGUUAAUUAGCCCCCAGUUUUGGGAACAAACUGGAGGUUGAACGAUCCCAGUUUGGAACUGGGAGGACUGGGAAUGGGCGGAGCCAUGGAUUGAGGGAAGUUGUUCCCAUUCCCUAAUUAAUUAGCUCAUUAAUUACCCCCUAAUUAGCUGGUUAAUUAACGAGCAGCUCAUUAAUUAGCCCCCAAAGUUGACUGGUUAAUGGUGGGACCAGUCCCAGUUGGGAACUGGAAGCACUGGGAAAGGGGGCGUGGUCAGGAUGGGCCUCAUUAACGAGGUUUAAUUAACGAGGUUUGAAUUAUUUAUUAUUUAUUUAUUUAUUAUUUAUUCGUUAUUUAUUGCUAUUUAUGAAUAUUUAAUUAUUUAUUUGCUGUUUGUGAGCAUUUGUUUAUUUAUUUGUUAUAAUUUAUUGAAUAAAUAUUUAUUAAUUAAUUAAUUUAAUUAAUUUUCUCUGGAUGAUUCCUUUCCCAAUUUCCCGUGGUCUGGAAGGUGAACUGGGAGCACUGGUUUGUACUGGGAGCACUGGGAAUCAUCCCAGUUUAUCCCAGUCCCAUCCCAGUAUCCCCAGUAACUCCCAGUAUUAUUUUGGGGUAAAUUAAUAAUUUUGGGGUAAAAUAAAGGAAUAAAAAUCCCAAAUUUUUGGUAUUUUCAACACAAAUAUUUUUAUUUUAUUUUUUUUAUUUACGGAUUUUUAUUGAAAAUACAAAGUCACAAAAGUAACAAAAAACUAAAAAAAAAAAUUUACAUUAUUUCCUAAAAAAAAAAAAAAAGUUAAAAAACGCCAGAAAAUCCAAAAUAAAAUUGAAAAUAAAAUCCAAAAUAAAAUCCAAUCCUUCCUCCCAAACUCACAUUUGCAUUCAGGACCCAAAUUUGGGAAUUUUUUUCCCAAAUUCCGUUUUUUUUUCCUCUAAAUUUUUAUUUUUCCCCAAAUUUUGAGGAUUUUUCCCCAAAUUUUGAGGAUUUUUUCCCCCAAAUUUUGAGGAUUUUUUCCCCAAAUUCUGAUUUUUUCCCCCAAAUUUUGAGAAUUUUUUUCCCCAAAUUUUGAGGAUUUUUCCCAAAUUUGGAGGAUUUUUCCCCCCUUAAUUCCAAGGCUUUUCCCAAAUUUUAAAGAUUUUUUUUCCCACAACUUUUCAGGGCUUUUUUCAUGGAAUUUUAAUUUUUUUUCCCCAAAUUUUCAGAUGAUUUCCCCAAUUUUUGGAUUUUUUCCCCCCAAUUUUUGGGGGAUUUUUGCCCAAAUUUUGGGAAUUUUUUCCCAAAUUUUGGGAGUUUUUUCCCAAAUUUUUGGGCUUUUAUCCCAAAAUUUUGUGGUUUUUCCCAAAUAUUUGCGAUUUUCUCCCGAAAUUUCGGAAUCCACGCGUUGGGAAGAGCCCCCAGUGUUGGGUUUGGCCAAUCCCAGUUGGGCACUGGGAGCACUGGGAGCACUGGGAACUCACCAGAACCACGGAAUGCUGGGAAGUCCUCAUCUCCCCACUUAAUUAAUGAACAAAUUCAUCCCUAAUUAAUUAGAGAUCGUUAAUUAGCCCCCAAAUUUGAAUGGGAACAAAUGGAAACCAAACUCAACGUUGGGUCUUGGGGUUGGCCAAUCCCAGUUGGGCACUGGGAGCACUGGGAACGCCGGGAACUCACCGGAACCACGGAAUGCUGGGAAUUCCUCAUCUCCCCAAUUAAUUAAUGAAUGAAUCCAUCCCUAAUUAAUUAGAGAUCAUUAAUUGGGCAAUAAAUUUGAAUGAGAAAAAUGGAGACCAACCAAACGUUGGGUCUUGGGGUUGACCAAUCCCAGUUGGGCACUGGGAGCACUGGGAGCACUGGGAACUUGCCGAAACCAUGGAAUGCUGGGAAUCCCUCAUCUCCCAACUUCAUUAAUGAAUGAAUCCAUCCCUAAUUAAUUAGAGAUUGUUAAUUAGCCACCAAAUUUGAAUGGGAAGAAAUGGAGACCAAACUCAACAUUGAGUUUUGGGUUGGCCAAUCCCAGAUGGGCACUGGGAACACCGGGAACUCACUGGAACCAUGGAAUGCUGGGAAUCCCUAAUCUCCCAACUUAAUUAAUGAACAA
This 3873-nucleotide long non-coding RNA is filed under the name Catharus ustulatus (Swainson's thrush). Its description in RNAcentral is "lncRNA (ENSCUSG00005009302.1)". The record is from RNAcentral. Lineage: Eukaryota; Metazoa; Chordata; Aves; Passeriformes; Turdidae.